This 1249-nucleotide ribosomal RNA is filed under the name metagenome. RNAcentral's name for it is "bacterial LSU rRNA". It matches the Rfam family "Bacterial large subunit ribosomal RNA", at positions 1634 to 2876 of the family's 2925-position model. The record is from RNAcentral.
UCAUACGACCGUACCGCAAACCGACACUGGUGCGCGAGAUGAGUAUUCUAAGGCGCUUGAGAAACUCAGGAGAAGGAACUCGGCAAAUUGACACCGUAACUUCGGAAGAAGGUGUGCCCUAUUAGUGUGUAGUGAACAACGGAGCAUGAAUGGGUUGCAAAAAAUCGGUGGCUGCGACUGUUUAUUAAAAACACAGCACUCUGCAAACACGAAAGUGGACGUAUAGGGUGUGACGCCUGCCCGGUGCUGGAAGAUUAAAUGAUGGGGUGCGAGCUCUUGAUUGAAGUCCCAGUAAACGGCGGCCGUAACAAUAACGGUCCUAAGGUAGCGAAAUUCCUUGUCGGGUAAGUUCCGACCUGCACGAAUGGCGUAACGAUGGCCACACUGUCUCCUCCUGAGACUCAGCGAAGUUGAAAUGUUUGUGAUGAUGCAAUCUCCCCGCGGAAAGACGGAAAGACCCCAUGAACCUUUACUGUAGCUUUGUAUUGGACUUUGAACAGAUCUGUGUAGGAUAGGUGGGAGGCUUUGAAGCAGGGUCGCUAGAUCUUGUGGAGCCAACGUUGAAAUACCACCCUGGUGUGUUUGAGGUUCUAACCUAGGUCCAUUAUCUGGAUCGGGGACAGUGUAUGGUAGGCAGUUUGACUGGGGCGGUCUCCUCCCAAAGCGUAACGGAGGAGUUCGAAGGUACGCUAGUUACGGUCGGACAUCGUGACGAUAGUGCAAUGGCAUAAGCGUGCUUAACUGCGAGACUGACAAGUCGAGCAGAUGCGAAAGCAGGACAUAGUGAUCCGGUGGUUCUGUAUGGAAGGGCCAUCGCUCAACGGAUAAAAGGUACUCUGGGGAUAACAGGCUGAUACCGCCCAAGAGUUCAUAUCGACGGCGGUGUUUGGCACCUCGAUGUCGGCUCAUCUCAUCCUGGGGCUGUAGCCGGUCCCAAGGGUAUGGCUGUUCGCCAUUUAAAGAGGUACGUGAGCUGGGUUUAAAACGUCGUGAGACAGUUUGGUCCCUAUCUUCCGUGGGCGCCGCAGAUUUGAGGAAGCCUGCUCCUAGUACGAGAGGACCGGAGUGGACACACCUCUGGUGUAUCGGUUGUCACGCCAGUGGCAUUGCCGAGUAGCUAAGUGUGGAAGAGAUAACCGCUGAAAGCAUCUAAGCGGGAAACUCGUUUCAAGAUGAGAUCUGCCGGGGCCUUGAGCCCCCUAAAGAGUCGUUCAAGACCAGGACGUUGAUAGGUCAGGUGUGGAAGCUA